AGAGUUUGAUCAUGGCUCAGAAUGAACGCUGGCGGCGUGCUUAACACAUGCAAGUCGAACGAGACCGGGGGGGCAACUCCUCGGUUUAGUGGCGGACGGGUGAGUAACACGUGGGUAACCUGCCCGGAAGUGGGGAAUACCUCGGGGAAACUCGAGCUAAUACCGCAUGACAUCUUCUAGACGAGAGUUCUGAAGAUCAAAGCGGGGUCGCAAGAUCUCGCGCUACCGGAUGGGCCCGCGCCCGAUUAGCUAGUUGGCGAGGUAAUGGCUCACCAAGGCUUCGAUCGGUAACCGGCCUGAGAGGGCGAUCGGUCACACCGGAACUGAGACACGGUCCGGACUCCUACGGGAGGCAGCAGUGGGGAAUCUUGCGCAAUGGGCGAAAGCCUGACGCAGCAACGCCGCGUGGAGGAUGAAGGCCCUUGGGUUGUAAACUCCUGUCGGUUGGGAAGAAAUCUAGCGGGGCUAAUACCUCCGCUAGUUGACUGUACCAGCAAAGGAAGCCCGGCUAACUCUGUGCCAGCAGCCGCGGUA
RNAcentral lists this ribosomal RNA (534 nucleotides) under uncultured Acidobacteriota bacterium. RNAcentral's name for it is "bacterial SSU rRNA". It matches the Rfam family "Bacterial small subunit ribosomal RNA", at positions 8 to 522 of the family's 1533-position model. The record is from RNAcentral. Lineage: Bacteria; Pseudomonadati; Acidobacteriota.